This 294-nucleotide long non-coding RNA is filed under the name Gossypium barbadense (sea-island cotton). RNAcentral's name for it is "long non-coding RNA (GBAR_LNC006297)". Lineage: Eukaryota; Viridiplantae; Streptophyta; Magnoliopsida; Malvales; Malvaceae. The record is from RNAcentral.
UCUGAGCUAAGUAUAAGGCCCGAUGAUUAGACGAGGUCAAGGUAAAGUAAAGCCUGACGUAUGGCGAGCUCUAAAGUUUAUAAGUAGAUAAACUAUUGUUCGCCCCACUAGUGCUCAUGGCGUGUACGUGGGCGCGUAAUCAAUAUCGAAUUGUAAUGCAAAAAUCCCUUAGAAGGGAAUGAGUUAAUAAGAAAGAAAGCUUAGUUGGAUAUUGAGGAAACACAGAUACUAGGGUCGCCGCCAAGAAGGCAUAAUGUGCCAAGUGCGACUAGUUGGAUUGCUCGUACGUGUUUC